Molecule: ribosomal RNA, 253 nt
Filed under: uncultured bacterium
Lineage: Bacteria
Description: partial 16S ribosomal RNA
Rfam family: Bacterial small subunit ribosomal RNA
Source: RNAcentral
UACGGAGGGGGCUAGCGUUGUUCGGAAUCAUUGGGCGUAAAGGGCGCGUAGGCGGCCACGCAAGUCGGAUGUGAAAUCCCUCGGCUCAACCGAGGAACUGCACCCGAAACUGCGAGGCUCGAGUCCUGGAGAGGGUAGUGGAAUUCCCAGUGUAGCGGUGAAAUGCGUAGAUACUGGGAGGAACACCGGUGGCGAAGGCGGCUACCUGGACAGGUACUGACGCUGAGGCGCGAAAGCCAGGGGAGCAAACAGG